Molecule: ribosomal RNA, 483 nt
Filed under: uncultured bacterium
Lineage: Bacteria
Description: partial 16S ribosomal RNA
Rfam family: Bacterial small subunit ribosomal RNA
Source: RNAcentral
AUUGGACGCUGGCGGCAGGCCUAACACAUGCAAGUCGAGCGGAUGAAGGGAGCUUGCUCCUGGAUUCAGCGGCGGACGGGUGAGUAAUGCCUAGGAAUCUGCCUGGUAGUGGGGGAUAACGUCCGGAAACGGGCGCUAAUACCGCAUACGUCCUGAGGGAGAAAGUGGGGGAUCUUCGGACCUCACGCUAUCAGAUGAGCCUAGGUCGGAUUAGCUAGUUGGUGGGGUAAAGGCCUACCAAGGCGACGAUCCGUAACUGGUCUGAGAGGAUGAUCAGUCACACUGGAACUGAGACACGGUCCAGACUCCUACGGGAGGCAGCAGUGGGGAAUAUUGGACAAUGGGCGAAAGCCUGAUCCAGCCAUGCCGCGUGUGUGAAGAAGGUCUUCGGAUUGUAAAGCACUUUAAGUUGGGAGGAAGGGCAGUAAGUUAAGACCUUGCUGUUUUGACGUUACCAACAGAAUAAGCACCGGCUAACUUCGU